RNAcentral lists this long non-coding RNA (404 nucleotides) under Heterocephalus glaber (naked mole-rat). Its description in RNAcentral is "lncRNA (ENSHGLG00000049909.1)". The record is from RNAcentral. Lineage: Eukaryota; Metazoa; Chordata; Mammalia; Rodentia; Bathyergidae.
GUGCUGUGAAGCUGGAAGCACCUGAGGCCUUUUCCUUGGAGGUUCAGACUGUGUUUGGUGCUGCUGAACUUUACAGGAAUAUGAAGAUGAAGUUAAUGGGUUAUCAAGUGCCAGUUACAAAAAUUACAGUUUCUGAGUGCUGUCUACAGAAUAGGACAUGUUCUGAUUGAUCAUCACUGGGGAAAUCUACCUCGGUACAGAGGGAGAGGACUGCAAAUGGUGAAUGGCAUCAGAAGAAAAGGGAAUUCAUUAAGAGACAAAGGGGGAGAAUUGUGAAGAUGAAAGAGUCACCUGUGUUUCAACUCUGCUGAAGAUAAAUGGAGCUGUAGAAGUUAUAAAAGAUUUCAGCCAUGAUUACUUUAAACAAAAGCCCUUCCAGAAGCAGAUGUAGCUUUAGAUAGCUC